This 304-nucleotide ribosomal RNA is filed under the name uncultured bacterium. Its description in RNAcentral is "partial 16S ribosomal RNA". It matches the Rfam family "Bacterial small subunit ribosomal RNA", at positions 509 to 809 of the family's 1533-position model. The record is from RNAcentral.
CAGCAGCCGCCACGGUAAUACGGAGGAUCCAAGCGUUAUCCGGAAUCAUUGGGUUUAAAGGGUCCGUAGGCGGUCUUGUAAGUCAGUGGUGAAAGCCCAUCGCUCAACGGUGGAACGGCCAUUGAUACUGCAGGACUUGAAUUAUUGGGAAGUAACUAGAAUAUGUAGUGUAGCGGUGAAAUGCUUAGAGAUUACAUGGAAUACCAAUUGCGAAGGCAGGUUACUACCAAUUGAUUGACGCUGAUGGACGAAAGCGUGGGUAGCGAACAGGAUUAGAUACCCCAGUAGUCCCUGUCUCUUAUAA